AUUGAACGCUGGCGGCAGGCCUAACACAUGCAAGUCGAGCGGAGCGACGGACGGGUGAGUAAUGCCUAGGAAUCUGCCUGGCCGUGGGGGAUAACGUCCGGACACGGACGCUAAUCCCGCAUCCUAUCAGAUGACACUAGGUCGGAUUAGCUAGUUGGUGGGGUAAAGGCCUACCAAGGCGACGAUCCGUAACUGGUCUGAGAGGAUGAUCAGUCACACUGGAACUGAGACACGGUCCAGACUCCUACGGGAGGCAGCAGUGGGGAAUAUUGGACAAUGGGCGAAAGCCUGACGCAGCCAUGCCGCGUGUGUGAAGAAGGUCUUCGGAUUGUAAAGCACUUUAAGUUGGGAGGCGUUACCAACAGAAAAAGCACCGGCUAACUUCGUGCCAGCAGCCGCGGUAAUAC
This 407-nucleotide ribosomal RNA is filed under the name uncultured bacterium. RNAcentral describes it as "partial 16S ribosomal RNA". It matches the Rfam family "Bacterial small subunit ribosomal RNA", at positions 30 to 526 of the family's 1533-position model. The record is from RNAcentral.